GGUAUAGCUCAAUGGUAGAGAGUAUGCUUAGCAUGCAUAAGGCCUGGGUUGAACUCCCAGCACC
RNAcentral lists this transfer RNA (64 nucleotides) under Marmota marmota marmota (Alpine marmot). It matches the Rfam family "tRNA". From Rfam's summary of the family: Transfer RNA (tRNA) molecules are approximately 80 nucleotides in length. The record is from Rfam by way of RNAcentral. RNAcentral also lists the same sequence under 2 other names. Lineage: Eukaryota; Metazoa; Chordata; Mammalia; Rodentia; Sciuridae.